Molecule: ribosomal RNA, 253 nt
Filed under: uncultured bacterium
Lineage: Bacteria
Description: partial 16S ribosomal RNA
Rfam family: Bacterial small subunit ribosomal RNA
Source: RNAcentral
UACAUGUGGGGCAAGCGUUGUUCGGAAUUACUGGGCAUAAAGGGUGCGUAGGCGGUUUGUUAAGUCAGGGGUGAAAGUUUUCGGCCCAACCGGAAAAUUGCCUUUGAUACUGGCGAACUUGAGUGCGUGAGGGGUAACCGGAACGAGCAGUGUAGCGGUGAAAUGCGUAGAUAUUGCUCGGAAGGCCAACGGCGAAGGCAGGUUACUGGUACGCAACUGACGCUGGGGCACGAAAGCGUGGGGAGCAAACAGG